AAGUCGUAACAAGGUUUCCGUAGGUGAACCUGCGGAAGGAUCAUUCACACAUAAAAAAUCCACUUUGAGUAUAUGUUGUAGCAAUAUAAUGUAUAUUUAUUGUGGUAAACCCAAAUAUAAAACAAACCCCAAAAAACGUCGUUACACCCCUACGUCAUUACACCUACCGAACCUGAAGAAAGGCUAUAAAUAGUGCCAUAUUGUAAUGAUAUGGCCGCUGAGUAAGGUGAGGGACCCCAUGCUCGAAGUUAGGCUAUAAAGAAUGCCAUAUUGUAAUGAUAUGGCUGCUGAGUAGAGUAUGGUAAAACUUUUACUACUAAUUUUAACUUUUAACCUUUUACUAACCAAAAUUACCUAAAUAAAAUUUAAAUACACAACCCUUUGCAAUGGAUAUCUUGGUUCUC
This 404-nucleotide unclassified non-coding RNA is filed under the name fungal sp. RNAcentral describes it as "partial internal transcribed spacer region". The stretch from base 1 to 46 matches the Rfam family "Eukaryotic small subunit ribosomal RNA", at positions 1786 to 1831 of the family's 1831-position model. The record is from RNAcentral. RNAcentral also lists the same sequence under 1 other name. Lineage: Eukaryota; Fungi.